CAGUGAUAAACUGGAGGAAGGUGGGGAUGACGUCAAGUCAUCAUGGCCCUUACGACCAGGGCUACACACGUGCUACAAUGGCGCAUACAAAGAGAAGCGACCUCGCGAGAGCAAGCGGACCUCAUAAAGUGCGUCGUAGUCCGGAUUGGAGUCUGCAACUCGACUCCAUGAAGUCGGAAUCGCUAGUAAUCGUGGAUCAGAAUGCCACGGUGAAUACGUUCCCGGGCCUUGUACACACCGCCCGUCACACCAUGGGAGUGGGUUGCAAAAGAAGUAGGUAGCUUAACCUUCGGGAGGGCGCUUACCACUUUGUGAUUCAUG
RNAcentral lists this ribosomal RNA (321 nucleotides) under Salmonella enterica subsp. enterica. RNAcentral describes it as "bacterial SSU rRNA". It matches the Rfam family "Bacterial small subunit ribosomal RNA", at positions 1153 to 1473 of the family's 1533-position model. RNAcentral also lists the same sequence under 3 other names. The record is from RNAcentral. Lineage: Bacteria; Pseudomonadati; Pseudomonadota; Gammaproteobacteria; Enterobacterales; Enterobacteriaceae.